GUGAGGAAUUUUCCGCAAUGGGCGAAAGCCUGACGGAGCAAUGCCGCGUGAAGGAUGAAGGCCUAUGGGUUGUAAACUUCUUUUCUUAGAGAAGAAUAUUGACGGUAUCUGAGGAAUAAGCAUCGGCUAACUUCGUGCCAGCAGCCGCGGUAAGACGAGGGAUCCUAGCGUUGUUCGGAAUUAUUGGGCGUAAAGCGGGUGCAGGUGGCUUGGUAAGUCAGAUGUGAAAGCCUGGGGCUUAACCCCAGAAGUGCAUUUGAUACUGCUGAGCUUGAGUGCUGGAGAGGCUAUUAGAAUUCCUGGUGUAGUGGUGAAAUACGUAGAUAUCAGGAGGAAUACCGGAGGCGAAGGCGGAUAGCUGGCCAGACACUGACACUCAGACCCGAAAGCGUGGGGAUCAAACAGGAUUAGAUACCCCAGUAGUCC
RNAcentral lists this ribosomal RNA (426 nucleotides) under uncultured bacterium. RNAcentral describes it as "partial 16S ribosomal RNA". It matches the Rfam family "Bacterial small subunit ribosomal RNA", at positions 354 to 796 of the family's 1533-position model. The record is from RNAcentral.